Molecule: ribosomal RNA, 190 nt
Filed under: uncultured Staphylococcus sp.
Lineage: Bacteria; Bacillati; Bacillota; Bacilli; Caryophanales; Staphylococcaceae
Description: partial 16S ribosomal RNA
Rfam family: Bacterial small subunit ribosomal RNA
Source: RNAcentral
UCGGGAAACCGGAGCUAAUACCGGAUAAUAUUUUGAACCGCAUGGUUCAAAAGUGAAAGACGGUCUUGCUGUCACUUAUAGAUGGAUCGCGCUGCAUUAGCUAGUUGGUAAGGUAACGGCUUACCAAGGCAACGAUGCAUAGCCGACCUGAGAGGGUGAUCGGCCACACUGGAACUGAGACACGGUCCAG